GGAUCGCAGGCUGCAACCCGCCUGCGUGAAGUUGGAAUCGCUAGUAAUCGCGGAUCAGCAUGCCGCGGUGAAUACGUUCCCGGGCCUUGUACACACCGCCCGUCACACCAUGAGAGUCGGGAACACCCGAAGUCCGUAGCCUAACUGCAAAGGGGGCGCGGCCGAAGGUGGGUUCGAUAAUUGGGGUGAAGUCGUAACAAGGUACC
Molecule: ribosomal RNA, 206 nt
Filed under: uncultured bacterium
Lineage: Bacteria
Description: partial 16S ribosomal RNA
Rfam family: Bacterial small subunit ribosomal RNA
Source: RNAcentral